This is a long non-coding RNA of Procambarus clarkii (red swamp crayfish), 2595 nucleotides long. RefSeq lists it as uncharacterized. The record is from RefSeq and is a predicted model, not a curated record. NCBI's taxonomy places the organism in Eukaryota, Metazoa, Arthropoda, Malacostraca, Decapoda, Cambaridae.
CCGGUAACUGCAGCGGCGACUCAGUGUGCCUGCUGCCGGUGUAACGUGAGGACGCAGCUCACCCGCAAAUCCGCACUGCCCGCGUCCACACCCCGCAAGCUAUGCCUACCCACAGCCACGCCUCAGCCCCGGUCCUCGCUGUGGACAUGUAAGACAGCUGGCCUGUGAGGGGGACACACUCGCAAGUGAUAGGGAAGAAGCGACCGAACCGCAUGUAUACACAAAAUAUAUUAUAUAUCUGAAGACUGUGAUAAAAGACUACGCCGAAGGAAGGAAUGUGCACCAGAGUUAGUUCCUGCAGGGUGGCGUUGUGGUAGAGAGAGAGAGACGCCGCCGUCAGCGUGUACCAAUAUAUGGAGAUACUGUGUCCCUCGACGGGCAUUCUCGGGAGACACCUUAGCCCUGGGUAGCGUGGAUGGUGAGGUGGCCGUGCUGUUGCUGCUGCUGCAGAGGGAAGAAAGGGGCUCCCGGCUGGUUCUCCGUUCAUCUCAGCCUCGCCUAUAGUAGUGGUGAUGUUUUCCUUGGGCUUGAUGACUUCCCACAGUGUCUUGCCCAUCACCACUAUCGCCACCACCACCACCAUUCCCCUCACUACCACCCCCAUCAUCUCCUCCAUCCCCAGCAUUGUCACGAACGCUCCACCCGCUUUUUAUUCUCUUCUGUUGCCCCCGUCUCCGAUCUCCCCACACUGCCCCUUCCCGGUGGUCAGCGCCAUCACCACCACCACCCACUCCGCCCACACACCCACCCCUCACGCCCACACCUGCAGGGGCAUCGCGGCAGCGGAACUACGACAGGCCAUCUUACCAAUCGCGUCAUCUGUCGGAUGUCCAGCAUCUUGAGAACUGGUCUUUGAGAGUAUUCACGACUCCUCGACAAAGUUCGCCCAUCGUUCUAGCAUUAAAACCAUUGCCUAUUAGCUGCUAAGGUGGUUGUAAAUACCGUAUAAUUGCUACUUGGUAUAAUUAUCGCUGCUACUUUUUAUCUUCUAGCCAGGCAACAAAGUCUAGUUUUCUACCGCAGAAGUUUCAUAAACGUUUACGAAUGUUCUCCCUAAGUGCCCUCUCAAAAGUGCCUGUACGUCAUAUAUGUCAUAGAAUGGGUCAUCUGUUUUGGUGAUGUAAGUUGAUCGAUAGCGACUUCGCAUGACGAACUCUCGUUCAACGUAGUACUCUCAUCCCGAGCUCUUCAAUCACGGUAAAUCCAAGCCAAAAGGCCUCUGUGGGAAUAACCGGUUAAGAUAACCUGCUCGGAGCGUUUGUUAUCUGUUCGGACGCUCUGAAUCAUUAACCACAGGAGUAGUUUAACUAUUCAUGAUUAUUGUAUAACUAACUAUUCAUUGUUGUAUCGUGAAAGUGAUCACACCCAAAACCAGUGAUGCGUAUCAUUGGCGGAAAGUGACCCCUAUAUAGAUGAAACAGCGGCGGAAAGUGACCCCCAUAUAGGUGAAACAGCGGCGGAAAGUGACCCCCAUAUAGAUGAAACAGCGGCGGAAAGUGACCCCCAUAUAGAUGAAACAGCGGCGGAAAGUGACCCCCAUAUAGAUGAAACAGCGGCGGAAAGUGACCCCCAUAUAGAUGAAACAGCGGCGGAAAGUGACCCCCAUAUAGAUGAAACAGCGGCGGAAAGUGAUUCAGGUGAAUGAAACUGGCGGAAAGUGAUCCAGGUCAAUUUGUUAGUUCGUGUGUCAUUGUUUGUGUGAGAAAAUUGGCAUUGCAAACGGCCGUUACGGCGAUCAAGAAGAAGCCGAAGCAAAAGAAAAGGAAAAAGAAAAGCACACUUCCCCCCCCCUGCACACACACACACACACACACACACACACACACACACACACACACACACACACACACACACACACACACACACACAGGCCCACUUUCCCUUGAAGCUGUGAUGCCCCGGAUGUGAUACAAGAGGACGAUACUACGCCUCUCUGACUAAACGAAUCUUCAGCAGACUAUUUGGAACGAACCUGAAAAAGGCAAAAAAAAAACUCAAACUGUAUGGGUGGGGACUUUUGACACGCAGAAAACAGAGAAAAGGGUUAAGACACAGACGUUGAAAAGAUGAGAGAGGACAAAUUGAAAUAACCAUCAAUUAGAAGAUCAUUUGUUAUAGAACGUUAAUGCGAAAAGUGUUUGGCGCUUAUAAGCAAAGGCCGAGAUAGCCAUAGAAAGUUGAGGAAAGGAAUCAGAGGCAAUAGAAUAAUAGGCAUAGAGUGGGGAGAAAUUAAAAUAAGACUAAAUGCAUGAUAAGCAGUGAAUGAGAGAAAUAGAAAUCAGGGAAGAGAAGAAAGGCAUAAAAAACAGGAAGAAAAUCAAAGUAAAAAAAGAAAAAGAGAGGUGGAAAGUAAGUGUAGAGGGGAAAUUAUUUUAGGAUAUAGGUGAAGGUGGAGUUGAAGACGAGAUCUCGGGACUUAUACAGCAAGAUCACCCUCACCGCUCCGCCAGACGCUCCCAUCAUGGCUUCUUAUUGCAGGUAAGGAGGAUGUCGAACUAUGGGGAAAAAAGGUGAGUGAGUGUGUAGGCGCGUGUGCGCGCGCGCGCGGAGGCCGCGGCUACCCACAUGGGGUACUUGACAAUGGUCAGUUUCGUU